RNAcentral lists this transfer RNA (66 nucleotides) under Cerithidea djadjariensis. RNAcentral describes it as "tRNA-Pro". The record is from RNAcentral. Lineage: Eukaryota; Metazoa; Mollusca; Gastropoda; Potamididae.
CAAAGCAUAGUUUAUUAAAAAUACUAGCAUUGGAAGUUAGAGAUUGGCGUUUUUGUCAUGCUUUGA